CGCCUUGCCAGCCCGCUCAGAACUUAAAGGAAUUGACGGGGCCCGCACAAGCGGAGGAGCAUGUGGUUUAAUUCGAUGAUACGCGAGGAACCUUACCUGGGCUCGAACGUAAGAUGACUGUAGGUGAAAGCUUACAUCUCUUCGGAGCAUUUUACGAGGUGCUGCAUGGUUGUCGUCAGCUCGUGCCGUGAGGUGUCGGGUUAAGUCCCAUAACGAGCGCAACCCCUACCUUUAGUUGCCAUCAGGUUAAGCUGGGGACUCUAAAGGAACUGCCUACGCAAGUAGUGAGGAAGGCGGGGAUGACGUCAAAUCAGCACGGCCCUUACGUCCAGGGCUACACACGUGCUACAAUGGCCGAUACAGAGGGCAGCUACCUGGUGACAGGAUGCAAAUCUCCAAAGUCGGUCUCAGUUCGGAUCGGAGUCUGCAACCCGACUCCGUGAAGUUGGAUUCGCUAGUAAUCGCGCAUCAGCCAUGGCGCGGUGAAUACGUUCCGGGCCUU
RNAcentral lists this ribosomal RNA (502 nucleotides) under uncultured Sphingobacteriales bacterium. RNAcentral describes it as "bacterial SSU rRNA". It matches the Rfam family "Bacterial small subunit ribosomal RNA", at positions 903 to 1382 of the family's 1533-position model. The record is from RNAcentral. Lineage: Bacteria; Pseudomonadati; Bacteroidota; Sphingobacteriia; Sphingobacteriales.